RNAcentral lists this unclassified non-coding RNA (421 nucleotides) under soil metagenome. RNAcentral describes it as "partial contains 5.8S ribosomal RNA, internal transcribed spacer 2, and large subunit ribosomal RNA". The stretch from base 1 to 120 matches the Rfam family "5.8S ribosomal RNA", at positions 35 to 154 of the family's 154-position model. The record is from RNAcentral.
GAUGAAGAACGUAGCGAAAUGCGAUACGUAAUGUGAAUUGCAGAAUUCAGUGAAUCAUCGAAUCUUUGAACGCAUAUUGCGCUCUUUGGUAUUCCGAAGAGCAUGCUUGUUUGAGUAUCAGUAAACACCUCAACCUCUUCUUGAUUUUUCAAAAGGAGGAUGGACUUGAGCUAUCCCAACAACCUUUACCGGUCGGCGGGCGGCUUGAAAUGCAGGUGCAGCUGGACUUUUAUCUGAGCUAAAAGCAUAUCUAUUUAGUCCUCGUCAAACAGGAUUAUUACUUUUGCUGCAGCUAACAUAAAGGAUAAUUGUCCUCUUUGCUGACUGAUGCAGGAUUUUACGACACUUUAUGUGUUGUUCAACUCGAUCUCAAAUCAAGUAAGACUACCCGCUGAACUUAAGCAUAUCAAUAAGCGGAGGA